CUUUGUCCAUCAUCCUCUCUGUUCCCCUGAGGCACCAAGGGGUGUGACUCAGGAUAGCCUUAGAGUGGCAGAGUCCUCAGGCAGGGGAUUUCUGGGUAGGGCUCAGUGAUGCCGAGCUGCCCAGUUGUAUUUGGUGGCAUCAGACCCCUGGUGUCCUCUGACCAUGCGCAUCCCUCUGCGUGAGGUGGACCCUGCGGCCUGCAGAACAGAACAGUGAGAUAUUGGAUCCAACAGUGCCAGCCUGGAACCAUGUCUUGAGCUCCCAGCCUCAGGACCCAGCAGUGGGAGCCGUGGACCACUGCUCUGGAGUCUGCAGCAGAGCAGAAGAUCUUCAUUCCCAGGUCCCUCUGGGCUCCAGGCCUGGCUCUUCAUGCCCCCAAAGGCAUUAAGAUGCCUGGCUGAACAAAAGGACCCUAGUCUCCAACCUUAGCUCUUAAAAAUAAUAAAAAUACAGAUGCUUAUAAUCAAAUGGCUUUUCUUAUUGUUUUGCUUCAUUUUCACUUAACAGAUCAAACUCUGAGGCAAGACUCCUGUCCUUGACCAGACAAGAAUCCCAAGGGCCCCUUGGUGCCAGCGCCCUAGCUUCCUCCAAGACUCUACAGAACACAAGAGAGAAUAAAGCAAGCUUUCUUCAGCUCAGGACCACCACGUGGAAAAAGCCUAACCCGGCUGGAAAGGGGCAGGGGGCAGGGCCUGGAGCCAAGGAAAUCUCUUCAAGGAAAAAAAGAAAAAAACAACCCUCUUUACUCUCUCCCCAUAGUGACAAAUUUAACUUGUCAGAUGCAAGUUCAACUUAUGGACGACCUGCUCAUGACUGAUAAUCUCCAUAGUAACUGCUGUGUCACGUGAUGACACAGCCCCGGCAGAGCUGGGAGAGCAGCUCUCCAGACUUCUGGCAUAUGCCACCAAGUCAGCCUAAUUAACAGGCGUGGAAUGGAGACUUGGGUUUAAGUCAUCGACAUACAUUCUAAAAGAAGAACGAAGAUAUUCUAGCACCUUCUCUUCCCAUUCAGAGGGCCCUGUGCCUGGAUCAAGG
RNAcentral lists this long non-coding RNA (1036 nucleotides) under Sus scrofa (pig). RNAcentral describes it as "lncRNA (ENSSSCG00015056565.1)". The record is from RNAcentral. Lineage: Eukaryota; Metazoa; Chordata; Mammalia; Artiodactyla; Suidae.